GGAGGGUAUAGCUCAGUGGCAGAGUGCUUGCUUAGCAUGCACGAGGUCCUGGGUUCAAUCCCCAGUACCUCCA
RNAcentral lists this transfer RNA (73 nucleotides) under Vicugna pacos (alpaca). RNAcentral describes it as "tRNA-Ala (AGC) (tRNA-Ala-AGC-302-1)". It matches the Rfam family "tRNA". From Rfam's summary of the family: Transfer RNA (tRNA) molecules are approximately 80 nucleotides in length. Their secondary structure includes four short double-helical elements and three loops (D, anti-codon, and T loops). The record is from RNAcentral. Lineage: Eukaryota; Metazoa; Chordata; Mammalia; Artiodactyla; Camelidae.